Ornithorhynchus anatinus (platypus) is the source of this 718-nucleotide long non-coding RNA. RefSeq lists it as uncharacterized. The transcript has 3 exons. The record is from RefSeq and is a predicted model, not a curated record. NCBI's taxonomy places the organism in Eukaryota, Metazoa, Chordata, Mammalia, Monotremata, Ornithorhynchidae.
CUCGAAAAACAUUAAUCCGUCGGUCAGGAUGAGGGAUUCCCAUUAGCAAAGACGAGGUCCACAUAAAAGAAACAGCCUCACUCGGUUGCUGAAGAACCUUCGGAUUUGGUUCCCACGGGAAGUGACCCGUGAGACCAGAAAUGUCGUUAGAGGGCUCAGCACACUGAAUGCCACUGAUCAAGAAGAUCAGCAAACGGAUAUUUCCUAAAAGAGACCCCAGUUGAGACGAAUAUCACAGUAUCCUUCUGCAUCCAAUUUCCAGGAAUUUGAAGAAACAUCACUUAAACUUCGCCUCCCCAUACAUUUUUAUCCUCCGUGCCAAGUCUUUGUCGAACCGCUCAAUAGCCGAUGCGAUCUUAUGGAAAUAGGUUUGAUGAGAAAAAUCAGAAGAAGAACGGGAACUGUCAUGGCCAGCUAAUAUAUGUGCGGGAGGGAAUUAAAAAUAAGCAGCUAGAAUAGAUACAGGACCAUUUCACCUUGAAAGAGAUUUAUCUUUCAGGACGAGUCGAUGAGUUGGAAGCUAUUGAAUAUAAGGAAUCCAUUUGCGCGUACUCCAUUUUGAUGAGUUUACCGCCUGCCACGUCCUGCCUCCGAUCCGUCUUACUUUAAUGUAUCUGAAGAGAAAAAUCGCAGCACACACCAUGCUUCUCCUGGGAAGAAUGCGCGGGGGUGAGAACUUGGCAAUUGGGUUAUAAUACUCCGACCUGCAGGUGAAAUU